Megalobrama amblycephala (Wuchang bream) is the source of this 411-nucleotide long non-coding RNA. RefSeq lists it as uncharacterized. The transcript has 3 exons. Lineage: Eukaryota; Metazoa; Chordata; Actinopteri; Cypriniformes; Xenocyprididae. The record is from RefSeq and is a predicted model, not a curated record.
CAAGGGCAGAACGUUUGGAUGUGCACAGCUGAAGGAACAGACUAGCACCCGGCAGAGGAGCCAGGAGCAGCUGUUGGAGCGGGUGGAGUGUGCACACGUCUCACUCUCCAGAUGACCAGAUGAAUCAUCAGCAUGCUCCAGACUGGUGAGGAAUUACUUUGUCAAUCCCUGUGUGGCAAAGCUUUCCCAGCAGGCUCAAUGCUAAGGCCGGUAGAUUUUGGAAGUUUUGAAGGGGAGAGCGAGUGCUGCGUGCUCCAUCUAGAUGUCUCAAAAUGAAUCAUUCACGUUAAUGGGAUGCGUCCAGUGGCUUUUGUUUGCUGAACAUCAAAGCCGGGUCACUUGGUUCAGCUACUGCUAAAAAUAUGACAAACAGGCAGGACAGAAAGUGAAUAAACUGUCAUGUUUUAUAUG